Molecule: ribosomal RNA, 633 nt
Filed under: uncultured fungus
Lineage: Eukaryota; Fungi
Description: eukaryotic LSU rRNA
Rfam family: Eukaryotic large subunit ribosomal RNA
Source: RNAcentral
CCCGCUGAACUUAAGCAUAUCAAUAAGCGGAGGAAAAGAAACUAACAAGGAUUCCCCUAGUAACUGCGAGUGAAGCGGGAAAAGCUCAAAUUUAAAAUCUGGCGGUCUUGUGGCCGUCCGAGUUGUAAUCUGGAGAAGUGCUUUCCGCGCUGGACCGUGUACAAGUCUCUUGGAACAGAGCGUCGUAGAGGGUGAGAAUCCCGUCUUUGACACGGACUGCCAGUGCUUUGUGAUGCGCUCUCAAAGAGUCGAGUUGUUUGGGAAUGCAGCUCAAAAUGGGUGGUAAAUUCCAUCUAAAGCUAAAUAUUGGCGAGAGACCGAUAGCGAACAAGUACCGUGAGGGAAAGAUGAAAAGCACUUUGGAAAGAGAGUUAAACAGUACGUGAAAUUGCUGAAAGGGAAACGCUUGAAGUCAGUCGCGUCCUUCAGAACUCAGCCUUGCAUUUUUGUUGGGUGCACUUUCUGAUGGACGGGCCAGCAUCAAUUUUGACCGUCGGAGAAAGGCCGAGGGAAUGUGGCAUCUUCGGAUGUGUUAUAGCCUUCUGUCAGACGCGGCGGUCGGGAUUGAGGAUCGGGCGCUCGUCGCUUUGGAUGCUGGCGUAAUGGCUUUAAUCGACCCGUCUUGAAACACGG